GCCGGUCUCCCCGCGGCGCGAAGUUGUGAAUCCCGUCAGGCCCGAAAGGGAGCAGCGGUAACAAUGGAUGCGGGCGCCGGGCCAAGAACGGUGCA
RNAcentral lists this signal recognition particle RNA (95 nucleotides) under Gammaproteobacteria bacterium. Its description in RNAcentral is "signal recognition particle sRNA small type". The stretch from base 5 to 88 matches the Rfam family "Bacterial small signal recognition particle RNA". From Rfam's summary of the family: The signal recognition particle (SRP) is a universally conserved ribonucleoprotein involved in the co-translational targeting of proteins to membranes. The record is from RNAcentral. Lineage: Bacteria; Pseudomonadati; Pseudomonadota; Gammaproteobacteria.